UAUCAUUAUACAACAGGUUAAAACUCUGUUUCGUUGCCAAAUUAAAAUGAAUCUACUACACGGUUUGUUUUUGGUGCUAUUUAUCGUUGAAUUCUCGGAACUUCAAGGGAAACAUGGCUUUUUCUCGCAAGCUCUUCUUAAGGGCGAAAUGAUUGAAAACAUGUCACAGGCGAAGUUUGUGGC
Molecule: long non-coding RNA, 183 nt
Organism: Sitodiplosis mosellana (orange wheat blossom midge)
Lineage: Eukaryota; Metazoa; Arthropoda; Insecta; Diptera; Cecidomyiidae
Exons: 3
Source: RefSeq, a predicted model, not a curated record